RNAcentral lists this ribosomal RNA (468 nucleotides) under uncultured bacterium. Its description in RNAcentral is "partial 16S ribosomal RNA". It matches the Rfam family "Bacterial small subunit ribosomal RNA", at positions 28 to 507 of the family's 1533-position model. The record is from RNAcentral.
GACGAACGCUGGCGGCGUGCUUAACACAUGCAAGUCGAACGGAAAGGCCCUGCUUUUGUGGGGUGCUCGAGUGGCGAACGGGUGCGUAACACGUGAGUAACCUGCCCUUGACUUUGGGAUAACUUCAGGAAACUGGGGCUAAUACCGGAUAGGAGCUCCUGCUGCAUGGUGGGGGUUGGAAAGUUUCGGCGGUUGGGGAUGGACUCGCGGCUUAUCAGCUUGUUGGUGGGGUAGUGGCUUACCAAGACUUUGACGGGUAGCCGGCCUGAGAGGGUGACCGGCCACAUUGGGACUGAGAUACGGCCCAGACUCCUACGGGAGGCAGCAGUGGGGAAUAUUGCACAAUGGGCGGAAGCCUGAUGCAGCAACGCCGCGUGCGGGAUGACGGCCUUCGGGUUGUAAACCGCUUUCGCCUGUGACGAAGCGUGAGUGACGGUAAUGGGUAAAGAAGCACCGGCUAACUACGUG